AAUAUUGCGCAAUGGGCGAAAGCCUGACGCAGCGACGCCGCGUGUGGGAUGACGGCCUUCGGGUUGUAAACCACUGUCGGGAGGGACGAAUGCGCCGCAAGGCGAGUGACGGUACCUCUCAAGGAAGCACCGGCUAACUCCGUGCCAGCAGCCGCGGUAAUACGGAGGGUGCGAGCGUUGUCCGGAAUCACUGGGCGUAAAGGGCGCGUAGGUGGCCGAGCAAGGUCGCGGUGAAAGCCCGGGGCUCAACCCCGGGUCGGCCGUGGUAACUACUCGGCUUGAGCACUGUAGGGGCGGGUGGAAUUCCGGGUGUAGCGGUGGAAUGCGUAGAGAUCCGGAAGAACACCGGUGGCGAAGGCGGCCUGCUGGGCAGUUUAGCUGACACUGAGGCGCGACAGCGUGGGGAGCAAAC
This 412-nucleotide ribosomal RNA is filed under the name uncultured bacterium. Its description in RNAcentral is "bacterial SSU rRNA". It matches the Rfam family "Bacterial small subunit ribosomal RNA", at positions 360 to 773 of the family's 1533-position model. The record is from RNAcentral.